Molecule: ribosomal RNA, 394 nt
Filed under: Streptococcus vestibularis
Lineage: Bacteria; Bacillati; Bacillota; Bacilli; Lactobacillales; Streptococcaceae
Description: bacterial SSU rRNA
Rfam family: Bacterial small subunit ribosomal RNA
Source: RNAcentral
CGGCGGGCCUAAUACAUGCAAGUAGAACGCUGAAGAGAGGAGCUUGCUCUUCUUGGAAGAGUUGCGAACGGGUGAGUAACGCGUAGGUAACCUCCUUGUAGCGGGGGAUAACUAUUGGAAACGAUAGCUAAUACCGCAUAACAAUGGGGGACCCAUGUCAUUCAUUUGAAAGGGGCAAAUGCUCCACUACGAGAUGGACCUGCGUUGUAUUAGCUAGUAGGUGAGGUAACGGCUCACCUAGGCGACGAUACAUAGCCGACCUGAGAGGGUGAUCGGCCACACUGGGAUGAGACACGGCCCAGACUCCUACGGGAGGCAGCAGUAGGGAAUCUUCGGCAAUGGGGGCAACCCUGACCGAGCAACGCCGCGUGAGUGAAGAAGGUUUUUCGGAUCG